Molecule: ribosomal RNA, 544 nt
Filed under: uncultured bacterium
Lineage: Bacteria
Description: bacterial SSU rRNA
Rfam family: Bacterial small subunit ribosomal RNA
Source: RNAcentral
AAUAGAUACCCGGUAGUCCACCCGUAAACGUUGGAACUAGUUGUGGGUCCUUUCCACGGAUUCCGUGACGCAGCUAACGCAUUAAGUUCCCCGCCUGGGGAGUACGGCCGCAAGGCUAAACUCAAAGGAAUUGACGGGGACCCGCACAAGCGGCGGAGCAUGCGGAUUAAUUCGAUGCAACGCGAAGAACCUUACCAAGGCUUGACAUACACGAGAACACCCCAGAAAUGGGGGACUCUUUGGACACUCGUGAACAGGUGGUGCAUGGUUGUCGUCAGCUCGUGUCGUGAGAUGUUGGGUUAAGUCCCGCAACGAGCGCAACCCUCGUUCUAUGUUGCCAGCACGUAAUGGUGGGAACUCAUGGGAUACUGCCGGGGUCAACUCGGAGGAAGGUGGGGAUGACGUCAAAUCAUCAUGCCCCUUAUGUCUUGGGCUUCACGCAUGCUACAAUGGCCGGUACAAAGGGCUGCAAUACCGUGAGGUGGAGCGAAUCCCAAAAAGCCGGUCCCAGUUCGGAUUGAGGUCUGCAACUCGACCUCAUGAA